CCAAGGAGUCUAACAUGUGCGCGAGUCACUCAGUCUUGACUAGGCUAGAGAGGCGCAAUGAAAGUAAAUUUUGUAUGUUACGAUCCUCAUGCCGGCUAUUGUGCCUUGGUGCGGUAGCGGUGAGGCGCAGUAACAGCCCGCCAGUUCCAUUUGUUAGUGGUGUGGCGGAGUUGUAGCGUACACGUUGGUACCCGAAAGAUGGUGAACUAUGCUUGGGCAAGACGAAGCCAGAGGAAACUCUGGUGGAGGUCUGUAGCGAUUCUGACGUGCAAAUCGAUCGUCAGACCUGAGUAUAGGGGCGAAAGACUAAUCGAACCAUC
This 320-nucleotide ribosomal RNA is filed under the name Dometorina plantivaga. Its description in RNAcentral is "partial large subunit ribosomal RNA". It matches the Rfam family "Eukaryotic large subunit ribosomal RNA", at positions 666 to 944 of the family's 3401-position model. The record is from RNAcentral. Lineage: Eukaryota; Metazoa; Arthropoda; Arachnida; Sarcoptiformes; Hemileiidae.